ACUGGCUGGACAACCAUUAGAGAGCUGGGGCCGGGAGGCUCGGGGACUACAUUUCCCAGGACGCCAAGCGGUCGGGUCCGGAAACGACGGACUUUGGGCUAAGUGCGCAGGCGCACGCGCCGCCGUGGUCUAUAUAAAGAAGGUUCGCUCCCUUUUUCGUCCUUUGAUUCCUGAGUCUCCGUGAGGUGUUCUCGUGGUUACGAUAUGUCUCUUCCCUGUGAGAUUCAUUUGCAGAUGGCUGGACUGAUCAAGCAGUACAGAAUGGAGGUCGGAGGGAGAGAAGGUCCUCCAGGGAGCUGAGAAAUCGCCGAGCACCUUAAGUCUCAAGGUUUGCUGAUGGCCAAGACCAGGCUUUGAAUGGAUGGUGAACUAAGAGGGGAGCGCAUUGAUUGGUAAGUGUCCCUCCUCCAGGGCAGACUUGUUUCUACUUGACACAAAUUGGGCUGGUGAAGCUGAUGAUACCACUUCUUUCCCCAUCAGAUCGACCCUGUUGAUCUCAUAUGCUAAUAGCCAGUUUUCUCUGAUGCACCAGCCCCUGGAAUCACUCAUCUUAGCUUUAAUUUGUUAUCGUGUAUUAAUGGCUCCCAUCUAUUUUCUUUUCUACAGGCCUGAGGAACCCAUGGAUGCCAGUGUUGGUCCAUUCUUGCUUUCAGGUGAGCGUCUGUUUUGACCUGUUUCUAGGGAUGUUAGCAACAAGUGUGGAGGGUAAUGGACCCUGUUCUGAAGCUGUUAGUUUUUAGGGCUCUUGAUACUCUUUAAGUUUACCGUGUUGCUCAGUGGGAUUGGAGGGGAAUGUGUUUGUUGUCUGGCCUUUUACCUCAUCUGAUAUUAGAUCAAGGAGUGGGCCAGAGUGAGUUUCAGGAUGCUGUUCCUGUCAGGCAAGCCUAUCAACAACUUUACUUUUCUUUUUUAGGUACCCCUUGGAACACAAUAGCAGUCCAGUCCUGCUGCCACCCCCACACGGCUGGGCAUGGUUCAAAGGCAUGCAGGAUGCAAAGAAGAGUCAGCUUUGGCUGGGGAGGAAUGGUUUGGUGUGCACUGCUACUGAAGUAGAAACUUUUGGCCUUCUGUCUGUAGAAAUAAAAAUCUGACUUGGUGUUUUUA
Long non-coding RNA from Rattus rattus (black rat), 1104 nucleotides. RefSeq lists it as uncharacterized. The record is from RefSeq and is a predicted model, not a curated record. The transcript has 3 exons. NCBI's taxonomy places the organism in Eukaryota, Metazoa, Chordata, Mammalia, Rodentia, Muridae.